Molecule: ribosomal RNA, 991 nt
Filed under: Candida albicans
Lineage: Eukaryota; Fungi; Ascomycota; Pichiomycetes; Serinales; Debaryomycetaceae
Description: SSU rRNA
Rfam family: Eukaryotic small subunit ribosomal RNA
Source: RNAcentral
UUAUACAGUGAAACUGCGAAUGGCUCAUUAAAUCAGUUAUCGUUUAUUUGAUAGUACCUUACUACUUGGAUAACCGUGGUAAUUCUAGAGCUAAUACAUGCUUAAAAUCCCGACUGUUUGGAAGGGAUGUAUUUAUUAGAUAAAAAAUCAAUGCCUUCGGGCUCUUUGAUGAUUCAUAAUAACUUUUCGAAUCGCAUGGCCUUGUGCUGGCGAUGGUUCAUUCAAAUUUCUGCCCUAUCAACUUUCGAUGGUAGGAUAGUGGCCUACCAUGGUUUCAACGGGUAACGGGGAAUAAGGGUUCGAUUCCGGAGAGGGAGCCUGAGAAACGGCUACCACAUCCAAGGAAGGCAGCAGGCGCGCAAAUUACCCAAUCCCGACACGGGGAGGUAGUGACAAUAAAUAACGAUACAGGGCCCUUUUGGGUCUUGUAAUUGGAAUGAGUACAAUGUAAAUACCUUAACGAGGAACAAUUGGAGGGCAAGUCUGGUGCCAGCAGCCGCGGUAAUUCCAGCUCCAAAAGCGUAUAUUAAAGUUGUUGCAGUUAAAAAGCUCGUAGUUGAACCUUGGGCUUGGCUGGCCGGUCCAUCUUUUUGAUGCGUACUGGACCCAGCCGAGCCUUUCCUUCUGGGUAGCCAUUUAUGGCGAACCAGGACUUUUACUUUGAAAAAAUUAGAGUGUUCAAAGCAGGCCUUUGCUCGAAUAUAUUAGCAUGGAAUAAUAGAAUAGGACGUUAUGGUUCUAUUUUGUUGGUUUCUAGGACCAUCGUAAUGAUUAAUAGGGACGGUCGGGGGUAUCAGUAUUCAGUUGUCAGAGGUGAAAUUCUUGGAUUUACUGAAGACUAACUACUGCGAAAGCAUUUACCAAGGACGUUUUCAUUAAUCAAGAACGAAAGUUAGGGGAUCGAAGAUGAUCAGAUACCGUCGUAGUCUUAACCAUAAACUAUGCCGACUAGGGAUCGGUUGUUGUUCUUUUUUAUUGACGCAAUCGGCAC